AGGCCCGACAUGUUACGCCGUCUGGUGGAUGGCUCGGCUUGAGCGCUGAAGAAGGGCGCAGCCAGCCGCGAAAGAGCCCCAGGUAAGCGUAUGCAGCUUUAGAACUGGGGAUUCCUGAAUGGGACCUCCUACCGCGGUUCUUCGGAACCGUGGUGCCCCCAGAUGGGGGCGGGAACCCCCCGAACGGAAGCAUCUUAGUAGGGGGAGGAAAAGAAACCAAAUGGGAUUCCCUUAGUAACAGCGAGCGAAAAGGGAAAAGUCCAAACCGAACCCCAUGGGGAAGACUCACGGGGGAUGUAGAGUUAUGGGUCCGGCUUCCUUCUCCCUGGUGAAGCUGAAGUGGCUUGGAAAGGCCCGCCAUAGAGGGUGAAAGCCCCGUAAGCGUAAACUGGAAGGAGUUGAGCUGGUGUCCCAGAGUACCGUACCCUGGUUUGGGUGCGGGAAGUUGGAAGGCACCGACUUCCAAGACUAAAUACGUCUCAAGACCGAUAGCGCACUAGUACGGUGACAGAAAGUUGAAAAGCACCCCGGAAGGGGGGUGAAAAGUGCCUGAAACCAGACGGUUACAGACGUGUGCAGCCCGGAAGGGUAGAUCCCUCCCAAAGGAAACCGCCGUGAGGCGGCAGUACGAGGGAGGGGGACCAGGGUUGCACGUUCCGUCUAGAAACACGGGCCGGGGAGUUCACGGCUGUGGCAAGCCUAAGGGUCUGGAAGCCCGUAGGCGUAGGGAAACCAACAUGCGCACAGCCAGCUCUUGAGCUGGUGAGGCGCGGAGUCUGAAAGGGCUUGGAGUCACGGCUGUGAGACUAGAAACCGGGCGAUCUAGCCCUGGGCAGGGCGAAGCCAGGCGAAAGCCUAGUGGAGGCCCGAAAGGGUGCUGACGUGCAAUUCGUUCCCCAGACCUGGGGUUAGGGGCUAAAGACCAAUCUAGCCCGGUGAUAGCUAGUUCCCUCCGAAGUGGGUCGCAGCCCAGUCCCGGGCGAGG
Molecule: ribosomal RNA, 985 nt
Filed under: Candidatus Bathyarchaeota archaeon
Lineage: Archaea; Thermoproteati; Candidatus Bathyarchaeota
Description: partial 23S ribosomal RNA
Rfam family: Archaeal large subunit ribosomal RNA
Source: RNAcentral